RNAcentral lists this ribosomal RNA (459 nucleotides) under uncultured bacterium. RNAcentral's name for it is "partial 16S ribosomal RNA". It matches the Rfam family "Bacterial small subunit ribosomal RNA", at positions 338 to 795 of the family's 1533-position model. The record is from RNAcentral.
CCUACGGGAGGCAGCAGUGAGGAAUAUUGGUCAAUGGCCGCAGGGCUGAACCAGCCAAGUCGCGUGAGGGAUGACGGUCCUAUGGAUUGUAAACCUCUUCUGCCAGGGAGCAAAUGGCGCCACGUGUGGCGCUUUGCGAGUACCUGUAGAUAAAGCAUCGGCUAACUCUGUGCAAGCAGCCGCGGUAAUACGGAGGAUGCGAGCGUUAUCCGGAUUUAUUGGGGUUAAAGGGUGCGUGGGCGGAAUAUCAAGUCAGCGGUAAAAAUUCGGGGCUAAACCCCGUCGUGCCGUUGAAACUGAUGUUCUUGAGUGGACGAGAAGUGUGCGGAAUGCGUGGUGUAGCGGUGAAAUGCAUAGAUAUCACGAAGAACUCCGGUUGCGAAGGCGGCAUACCGGCGCCCAACUGACGCUGAAGCACGAAAGCGUGGGUAUCGAACAGGAUUAGAUACCCCUGUAGUC